AUAAGACAUUAGUAAAAUAUUACACAACCUUGUCAUGGUUAAAUUAUAAGUUAAAACCUUAUAUGUCUUA
RNAcentral lists this transfer RNA (70 nucleotides) under Andrias davidianus (Chinese giant salamander). RNAcentral describes it as "transfer RNA-Asp". It matches the Rfam family "tRNA". Rfam says of the family: Transfer RNA (tRNA) molecules are approximately 80 nucleotides in length. Their secondary structure includes four short double-helical elements and three loops (D, anti-codon, and T loops). RNAcentral also lists the same sequence under 2 other names. Lineage: Eukaryota; Metazoa; Chordata; Amphibia; Caudata; Cryptobranchidae. The record is from RNAcentral.